AUUUUACUUUUCUGUUUGUAAACGGUCUUGUCCGAUUUCAAAAUUUGUUUCUAAUUUGUGUUCUUGUCUUUAGUGUCUGUCGUGUGUGUCGUAUCCUUUCUGCCGCUGUUUGUCAUUGCUUCUUGCCCAAGCGGAGAGGUAUGUUAAAAUUUUCCAAUGUUUUCUUGUAGUUUAUAACAUAACCAGGUGGCUGACUACAGCCAAACAGAAGGCUGUCAAAUAUACUACAUGCUUUGUGCAUUUGAGCGUUUGAAAAAGCAAUGUUAAACAGGGUUGGGUAAUACCAUCUCAGUUCGCAUCUUUACUGUUGUUAUUAUCACACGCUAGUACAUACCGCAUUUGUAUUUUAACUUGAAAGACAGGGCAUAACUGCUAUAUAGAAAUGUCUUAUUUGAGUUAUAAUAAUAAGGCGACAACAUCCUGGGGCCGGUUGUUCAAAGUUGGGUUAGCGCUAACCCUGGGUUAAAAUUUAACCUGCUGUUUUAGUUUAUGUAUUUCUGCACGUCUGUUUAUUUCAAAACUUGAGAGAAGAAAACUUCUAUCGAUCCAGACAAGAUUUCUGAAGAAAGAUUUCCAAAUUUAUACACAAGCUGUCAGAACGUUUGCUUUGAAUUUAAGGUUAACCUAGGGUUAAGCUAAUCGGCUUUUGAACAAACGGCCCCUGAUGUUGUUUGCAUAUAUAUAUAUAUAGUCUAUAGACCUUAGCUUUUAUAUAUGUUUGUCCUGUUUUCAAUUAAUGAGACUCGUUACUUUUCCUACAUUUGAGACGUUUUGAAGUCAUUCUCAUUUGAAGUCUCGGUAUUUCGUACCAAACAUGCGGCAGUAAUAUAUUUUCAGGCCCACAUCACACUGCAUGUAAUAAAACGCUACGGCUACUUUACGUUCGGCGAUUCAACAAGCAACGUUCUAGAUACAAAAGUUUAGAUCCCGUUCUCAAGGGUCCGAAUGAAAUUGGAAAUUUGCACGGUUUGGCCUCUCGUGUUUAAACGGGUAUGGGAUCUGUUCAUAAAACAAAAGCGAAAUACAGACAUUACUUUAUCUGGCACACAGCUGGUGUUCUAGUCAAACAAGUCUUAGAAAUUUUGACAGACAUCUCAGUAUUUUGAUAAGUUCUGCUCUGCUAGUUGACAAUAUAACAUUGUUUACCAAGAACUACCUUUUUCAUGUCGCAUAAAAGCGGAGGUAGUGUAAAAGGUACUGUACAACUCGUCCCUUGAAGCAGACACUUGUCAAAAAUGGAACCGGACGUUCUUACAUAAAAGCACAUUUUUACGAUAACAUUCGCGAUUCUUGAGUUAAAAUAUAGUGGCAGUACUACGUCCGAAUAUGGGCGUUUUGAGCCUUUCGUCACAAGAUAUACAUAUAUAUUCCAAUUAAAACAAAGUGUUGAUUAGAUAUAUCUCAUCCCGAUCUUGUGUGUAUUUAAUUUCGUUAUCUGGCUAUACACACGUAGAAACGCACAAGUUGUUACAAGUCUGCAAACAAGUUGUUACAUACCUGUUCACAAGCUGUCAACAAGUUGUGUUCGCACUGCUUGUUCCCAGUUGUUGUAACAAGUUUGAAACAAACUGUUAACAAUUUGUAACAACCUUGUUGAUAUUAUCAGACUUGACACAAGGUUGUUCUAACAAGUCUGAUACAGUCAUGAUAAACAUGAGAAUGUUGCAAGGUUGACGACACAAUGUUGUAACAAUACUGCUAUAUCAUGACUGAGUCGGACUUGUUGGAACAACCUUGUAACAAACCUGAUAAUAUCAACAAGGUUGUUACAAGUUGUUAACAGCUUGAUCCAAACUCGUUGACAACUUGUGACAAGCAGUGCGAACACAACUUGUUGACGGCUUGUUGACAAACUUGUUACAAGAUGUGAGAUUUUUGCGUGUGUAGGCGAAGAACGAUCUAUCCCAAACGUGUCCCGUGCACGGACGGACAGUGUGGGCAAACAAAUGUCUACAAUAAACUCGAACGGUCUGUCGCCGGGUAGCGACAAUUUAUAUAGCUAGAAGUGUAUACACUAAAAAAGCUCCAUCGAGCUAUACUUGUAUUCGUCGACUUCGGGCGGAUGAAUCCCUUUUAAUCCGCAGCUUUUUGGUAAUCUACAAUAAGCUGGUUUGGUGUGUGUCUGAACUGCCUGAAAAAUAUAUCUUCAACGUGGGAGUCGAGUGUUUAGGUACAGGGCUCAAAAUAACGGGCGGUCAACGGACAAUGACGGGCUAAAAAUGCCUCUUGACCGAUCAUUUUUUUACCUCACCGGUCAUUUUGACCGGCCACACUUUCAUCCCAUCCAAUGUGAUUGCUGACGUCUUGAAUUAAAACUAUGAUAUAUCGAAACAAGUUUUUAAUACUUUGUUUCACUGUUAGUGUAAGCGUAUCAAUAACCGAUCAAAAACAGAUUUUGACCGAGCUAAAAUCAAGUUUAUCGGUCAUUUUGACCGGAGACCUAUCUCCCGUUAUUUUGAGCCCUGAGGUAGUAUUCCACAAUGUUAAAAUUGUUCGGUUGUUUGUGUCUGAACUACAUGAAGAAGGUCGUUCCGUUUGGUAGACACUUUUAUAUAUUUCAACCAGUCAGAGCAGAACAACUACAACAUCGGAUAUCGAAAAUGUCUGAGGAUGAUCUCGUGGAUGACAUGAACAGCCCCUUACCCCUUAGUCAUUUCCUGAUGAUGACUCAAAUCUAGUUGAAACGUGGAAUAAAGCACUUUUCAAAAUGUUACCGCGUUUUCGUUGUUACUAUUGUAUUACACUUUAUAUACUUCAAAGACAUCGUACGUUUGUCUUCGAUUAAUAUUAUACAAGAUGCUACACGUAAUCGUACCCGCUUGAGUGAUUUGCAAAGUUUUAAGUGAUACGCAAUUAAACAAAGCGUUUUUCGUGCUCUCCAGAUAUUGUUGUGCAAAGUGUUUCUAGGCCAGCUGCUCUCAGGGCCUAUUUGCUUCUAAUAUCAGG
This 2946-nucleotide long non-coding RNA is filed under the name Paramuricea clavata. Lineage: Eukaryota; Metazoa; Cnidaria; Anthozoa; Malacalcyonacea; Plexauridae. The record is from RNAcentral.